Molecule: ribosomal RNA, 102 nt
Filed under: uncultured bacterium
Lineage: Bacteria
Description: partial 16S ribosomal RNA
Rfam family: Bacterial small subunit ribosomal RNA
Source: RNAcentral
UGAAGGCCUUCGGGUCGUAAACCUCUUUCGAUCGGGAAAAAUGGGUGGGUGAAUAGCCUGCUCUGAUGGUACCGGAAGAAGAAGCCCCGGCUAACUACGUGC